Sarcophilus harrisii (Tasmanian devil) is the source of this 209-nucleotide small nucleolar RNA. Its record names the gene U3. It matches the Rfam family "Small nucleolar RNA U3". From Rfam's summary of the family: Small nucleolar RNAs (snoRNAs) are involved in the processing and modification of rRNA in the nucleolus. There are two main classes of snoRNAs: the box C/D class, and the box H/ACA class. The record is from Ensembl. NCBI's taxonomy places the organism in Eukaryota, Metazoa, Chordata, Mammalia, Dasyuromorphia, Dasyuridae.
AAGACACUACUUUCGGGAUCAUUUUCUAUAGUAUGUGACUAGGGAGGUGGAGCUGAAAGUGUAGCACAGGUAACCGGGAGGCUGGGCGUUCCCUUCUGAGCGUGAAGCCAGCUUGUGGUGCUGCUUCUCAGCAGCUGUCACUUGCCAUUGAUGAUCGUUCUUCCCUCCCUUCAGGUUGGGUGAGAGGAAGGGAACACAGGCUGAGUGGC